GACGAACGCUGGCGGCGUGCCUAGCACAUGCAAGUCGAACGAAAAGAGGGAAAGAGCUUGCUCUUUCCGGAAUUGAGUGGCAAACGGGUGAGUAACACGUAAACAACCUGCCUUCAGGAUGGGGACAACAGACGGAAACGACUGCUAAUAACGAAUAAGUUCCAAGAGCUGCAUGGCCCAUGGAAGAAAAGGUGGCCUCUACCAGUAAGCUAUCGCCUGAAGAGGGGUUUGCGUCUGAUUAGCUGGUUGGAGGGGUCACGGGCCACCAAGGGGACGAUCGGUAGACGGUCAGAGAGGAGGAACGGCCACACUGGAACUGGAGCACGGUCCAGACUCCUACGGGAGGCAGCAGGGGGGAAUCUUCCGCAAAGGGCGAAAGCCUGACGGAGGAACGCCGCGUGAGAGAAGGCGGCCUUCAGGUUGUAAAACUCUUUAAUCCAGGACGGAAAUGCAGAGUGCGUAGAAGAAACUGCAUUGACGGUACCGGAAAAGCAAGCCACGGCUAACUACGUG
RNAcentral lists this ribosomal RNA (513 nucleotides) under uncultured bacterium. RNAcentral describes it as "partial 16S ribosomal RNA". It matches the Rfam family "Bacterial small subunit ribosomal RNA", at positions 28 to 507 of the family's 1533-position model. The record is from RNAcentral.